RNAcentral lists this unclassified non-coding RNA (413 nucleotides) under Hevea brasiliensis (rubber tree). The record is from RNAcentral. Lineage: Eukaryota; Viridiplantae; Streptophyta; Magnoliopsida; Malpighiales; Euphorbiaceae.
GUUCCAGGGCGUUGAUCAGAAAAAUGCAUGGAGAUAAAACCCUUGCCAAAUUUCUCAAAUGCUUUUUCCCCAAAAACCUGCUCAAGCACAGCCUCAGUGAGCAAAUCCCCAGCAACCUCCUUAGACUCUGAAAUAACUCCCAACUCCUCAGACACCCAUUUCCUCCCACUAGGUGGCUGCGCUACAAUCCCAGCAAAUCUUUGCAAAUCUCUCACCUCCUUCUGCAUCACUUUGGCUGCCUUCUUCUUUGCCAGCGCCAAAACCACAUGAUCCAUCGCAUCAUCAUUCAUAUACACUUCAAAAGUGAUCUCAUCCUUGCAAGGCACGAUCAUAUUAUAAAUCCUUGCAAUCAAAUCGUGCCUACUCUUCAAUUCCAUCGUAGCCAACAAACCUUGACAGUACCUACGACCACU